RNAcentral lists this microRNA precursor (168 nucleotides) under Pelobates cultripes (western spadefoot toad). Lineage: Eukaryota; Metazoa; Chordata; Amphibia; Anura; Pelobatidae. The record is from RNAcentral.
GCAGACACAUUCCAGCCAAUAAGCAGCAGACCCUCCCUCCCAGACCCUCCCACCUCCUGGACAGCAUCCAUUUUACAUCCAUUGUGAAGCUGCAUUCUUAGUGAGCUGUCCAGGAGGUGGGAGGGUCUGGGAGGGAGGGUCUGCUGCUGAUUGGCUGGAAUGUAUCUG